Molecule: long non-coding RNA, 290 nt
Filed under: Catharus ustulatus (Swainson's thrush)
Lineage: Eukaryota; Metazoa; Chordata; Aves; Passeriformes; Turdidae
Description: lncRNA (ENSCUSG00005004086.1)
Source: RNAcentral
CCGGCGCUCGCGGCGCUCGUCACCAGUCGCCCUGGGGUCGCCGGGGCCGCGCGGUGGCUUCCCCUUCGCUCGCCCUCCCCCUCCCCGGCUGGGAAGCUCCGGCCGUGCCGUGUUCCUCGGCCUUCCUGUGUCCCAUGGGCCGCUCAGGAUGGACAGCAGGACCGUUCCCCUGCGGUAGAGCCGAGCCCCAACGGGGAGGAACAGCGGCGGCGCCGUGGGUGGGCGGUGGGGCUCACGGCGGAGGCCCGGAUUUAAAAACCUGCACAAGGAAGGGAAUGCAAAACACCUGA